This 1439-nucleotide ribosomal RNA is filed under the name uncultured bacterium. RNAcentral describes it as "bacterial SSU rRNA". It matches the Rfam family "Bacterial small subunit ribosomal RNA". The record is from RNAcentral.
AGGGUUUGAUCAUGGCUCAGAACGUACGCUGGCGGCACGCCUAAUACAUGCAAGUCGAACGAAGUAGCAAUACUUAGUGGCAGACGGGUGAGUAACAUGUAGGUAUCUUCCCUUUGGUGAGGAAUAACACGAGGAAACUUGUGCUAAUACCUCAUAAGUCUUUACGGAGAAAGCUUUAUGCGCCAUUGGAUGAGCCUGCACUUGAUUAGUUUGUUGGUGGGGUAAUGGCUUACCAAGACAAUGAUCAAUAGCUGAUUUGAGAGGAUGAUCAGCCACAUUGGGACUGAGACACGGCCCAAACUCCUACGGGAGGCAGCAGUAGGGAAUCUUGCACAAUGGGGGAAACCCUGAUGCAGCGAUGCCGCGUGAGUGAAGAAGGCCUUUGGGUUGUAAAGCUCUUUCGUCGGGGAAGAAAAUGACUGUACCCGAAUAAGAAGGUCCGGCUAACUUCGUGCCAGCAGCCGCGGUAAUACGAAGGGACCUAGCGUAGUUCGGAAUUACUGGGCUUAAAGAGUUCGUAGGUGGUUAAAAAAGUUGGUGGUGAAAUCCCAGAGCUUAACUCUGGAACUGCCAUCAAAACUUUUUAGCUAGAGUAUGAUAGAGGAAAGCAGAAUUUCUAGUGUAGAGGUGAAAUUCGUAGAUAUUAGAAAGAAUACCAAUUGCGAAGGCAGCUUUCUGGAUCAUUACUGACGCUGAGGAACGAAAGCAUGGGUAGCGAAGAGGAUUAGAUACCCUCGUAGUCCAUGCCGUAAACGAUGUGUGUUAGACGUUGGAAAUUUAUUUUCAGUGUCGCAGCGAAAGCAAUAAACACACCGCCUGGGGAGUACGACCGCAAGGUUAAAACUCAAAUGAAUUGACGGGGACCCGCACAAGUAGUGGAGCAUGUGGUUUAAUUCGAAGAUACGCGCAGAACCUUACCAACACUUGACAUGUUCGUCGCGACUUUAAGAGAUUAAAGUUUUCGGUUCGGCCGGACGAAACACAGGUGCUGCAUGGCUGUCGUCAGCUCGUGUCGUGAGAUGUUGGGUUAAGUCCCGCAACGAGCGCAACCCUCACUUUUAGUUGCCAUCAUUUAGUUGGGCACUCUGAAAGAACUGCCAGUGAUAAGCUGGAGGAAGGUGGGGAUGACGUCAAGUCCUCAUGGCCCUUACGUGUUGGGCUACACACGUGCUACAAUGGCAUUUACAAUAGGAAGCAAGACGGCGACGUUAAGCAAAUCCUAAAAAAAUGCCUCAGUUCGGAUUGUACUCUGCAACUCGAGUACAUGAAGCUGGAAUUACUAGUAAUCGCGGAUCAGCGCGCCGCGGUGAAUACGUUCCCGGGUCUUGUACACACCGCCCGUCACACCAUGGGAGUUGGUUCUACCUUAAGGCAAAGGUUAAAAACUUUGACCACGGUAUAGUCAGCGACUGGGGUGAAGUCAUAACAAGGUAACCGUA